Molecule: ribosomal RNA, 433 nt
Filed under: uncultured bacterium
Lineage: Bacteria
Description: partial 16S ribosomal RNA
Rfam family: Bacterial small subunit ribosomal RNA
Source: RNAcentral
AACGAACGCUGGCGGCAGGCCUAACACAUGCAAGUCGAGCGCGCCCUUCGGGGUGAGCGGCGGACGGGUGAGUAACGCGUGGGAACGUGCCCUUCUCUGCGGAAUAGCCUCGGGAAACUGAGAGUAAUACCGCAUACGCCCUUUGGGGGAAAGAUUUAUCGGAGAAGGAUCGGCCCGCGUUGGAUUAGGUAGUUGGUGGGGUAAUAGCCCACCAAGCCGACGAUCCAUAGCUGGUUUGAGAGGAUGAUCAGCCACACUGGGACUGAGACACGGCCCAGACUCCUACGGGAGGCAGCAGUGGGGAAUCUUAGACAAUGGGGGCAACCCUGAUCUAGCCAUGCCGCGUGAGUGAUGAAGGCCUUAGGGUUGUAAAGCUCUUUCAGCUGGGAAGAUAAUGACGGUACCAGCAGAAGAAGCCCCGGCUAACUCCGUG